Molecule: long non-coding RNA, 2269 nt
Organism: Canis lupus familiaris (dog)
Lineage: Eukaryota; Metazoa; Chordata; Mammalia; Carnivora; Canidae
Exons: 5
Source: RefSeq, a predicted model, not a curated record
CCAGCCACCUUGGCUCCUAAAGGCCAGAUUUAGAGGAAGAGGGGGGCAAGCUUUGCGUACCUCAUUCACAACACAGCUGGGAGGAAACCAAACUGCCUGAGAUGGUACAAUAAAAAUCAGCCUAAGAAUUCGGUGAAGAAGGGAGCGCAGCAGACAAACAGGCCAGGUGCCGGCGAUGCAAAUGAAAUGGAUGACAGAUGGCGAGUAGCACGCUCACUCACUGCGCGUGUAUAAUGGAUAGAGGAACAUACUUUAAAAUCUUGAGUCUUGGGCAUCCUCUUAAAUUUUGCAUUCAGUGUCUCUUAGUCACCUCACUGUGGCCCCAGCCAGGCAUCAAAACUACUUGGAGAAAUAAAUGAAACAGAGAAAAGUGGUCAGUCCUUUAAAACUACAGAAGAAAAAAGGGAAAUAACAAUACAUGCACAUAUACCUUGGGGAAAAAUGGGUGUUUAAGCCUUUCAAAAGAAGACCUGAUGGGAUGGGUUUGCAUUAUCCAAUACCUAGCAGAGUUUGAAUGCAAGCCAAUUCAAAGUUGAUCAACCUUUAAUUUUUCAUCUAAAGUUAUAUGCUUUUAUACAUUUCCUUGUGGCUAACACACUAAUCACCAGUCUAAUCAGUUUCAGAAGGAGCACAGUACACUCCUGUAUCCUUUCCACAUCUUCUAGGAUCAGUACCCUGAUUUUUCUUUGGAGAGCUGCCUUUCCCAGUCUUGAUCCCGGUGGCUUGAUUGGACACAUCCCACUCCAGACUCCAAGAGGAAACAAGUGACCAAGACCUGGACAAUUACCAUGUUUUGACAACUUGGUCAGAGUAUUUGGUUCAGGGGUAUUGCUCAGGAGAGCCCUAGAGCCCUGAAAUCCUGCCUGUGCUACUGGGGGCUUGGCAUGUCCUUCUCCCUGAAUUUUGUAACUUUGCACGAUAUAACCAUAGGGUGCUGGGGCCACCAGAAGGGAAGAGUCUGCCAGAGUAGAACCAGCAGAGAGGUGGGCAGAGCUGAUGGGCAGAGAGAGUCCUGAUGAUACCAUAUGAGGGCAGGAUCUACCUAUAUGUGGACAAGACUUCAUUUCACAGAGCAAAUACAUUCUCUUUAUUUCUUAAAUGACUUUCCCUUUAGUUUAUUUAUUAGCUUGUUUAUUCAGAAAAUAUUUUCUACGUAUUUAACCUAUGUGCAAGGCAUCAUUUUAAAUGUUGGUGACACAGCAGUGGGCAAGACAAAGUCUUGCUCUCAUGAAACGGAUAAUAGUCAACAGAUAACACACAAACAUAUAAUAAACAUUUAACAGAGUGCCAAAAAUCAAGACCCAGAAAGAAAAACCAGGCAGGGUAAUGAGAUAGAAAGUAUUUGGGGAUAGUUUAGAAAGGAGCACUAGGGAAGGCCUAUGUGAGUAGAGACCUAAGUCAAUGAGGGGGAAAAAAACAAAACAAAACAAAAAACAAAAAAAAAUCUCUCUGCAUGUUUGAGGAAGAUCAUUUUAGGAGAGAGAAAAUCCAAACUAAGGAGAAGGACUCUGUGUAUCUGAGGAGGAACAAGAAGACUGCUGUGGAGUGCUUGACAUAAGGGAUGAUAAUCUUUCAGUGACUGUCUAACCACCAUUUUAUUCUACAUUCACUAUAUGUAAAACCAGGUAGUACUAUUAAAAGUAUAGAUAGAACUUUGCAGAGACAUGAGAAAACUGAGACAUUCGUGAAAUGGAGGAGACUUUCUGUGACUUUGGUUUUAUGACUCAGUCCUGCAAAACGUGCCCUUCAUCUGGUUUUGCCCGCAAGACUGGGAAGUUCUGAUGAGACCAGCUUGAGCCUAGCCAUUUUGACACUACUGUUUGAUGAUCUAACCACUGCCAGUUUCUGCUGCUUGCUUAUCUUACUGCUGCCAAUUUUACAACAACUCUGAUUUUUCAGCCAAUUUGUUUAUUCAGCAUUUCAUUUCCUGGCCUUUGUCAGAGGUACCUGUAAUGUGUAAAGGGAGGUAAUGUGUUCAGAUGGGGAAUAGAGUCUUGGCAGAGUCUCACUUGGGAUUUUUUGAGAGAAAGCAUGCAUGUGGAGAUGGGGUGCUUGGUGAAAAUUAAUGAGUAGUGAGUGAUUGGAAUGAAGAAGAUAAAAUCAAGAUUUUUUUGGCAAGAGGAGAAAACACCCAAUGUUUUCAUAUCAACCUCACACCUUUUUCCCUAAAAGGCAAAUUAUAAAACUUUCAGCUGUUAAGUGUUCCUGCUGAGUUCCUACAACCACCAACAAUACAACACCACAGAGCACCAAGUCAUGUGUGUGACGG